This is a long non-coding RNA of Mustela lutreola (European mink), 3179 nucleotides long. RefSeq lists it as uncharacterized. The record is from RefSeq and is a predicted model, not a curated record. The transcript is spliced from 4 exons. Lineage: Eukaryota; Metazoa; Chordata; Mammalia; Carnivora; Mustelidae.
AGCACGGCUGGUUUCCAACACCUUCCUGUUGGAGGCCGGAGGUCAGGGUGCGUGGACAUUGGCCAGAGGCAGGGAAGAGAGGCAGAGCUGGGGGCGGUUCUUCAACACGGAGAAGUGAAGUUCAGGAAGACAGUGUGAGGCACAGGGCCAGCAGCCAGGCAGAAAUGCCCACCGCUGAAUAGCAAGAGUAGGAUGCCAAUCCCGAGACUGAACAUCAGCCGCAAAUUCUUGCCCCCGCUCUUGCUGCAAGACCUGACCUUCAUUCUUCAUAUGGGAUCCUCCUGGUCCUAUAUCUCCUACCGCUCACGAACUCUAGGGGACAUUUUCUCAGAAAAACCCAUUUGUGCACAGAAUUCCGUCACCCUCAGAGAGGGGUAGGCUUGGGAAGGACACUGAGAAUCUAAACAGCCUAGAAAUCGCUUAGUGGCAGAAGCAGCUAAAUCAGGAAACACUGUUAAUUCUAAGUAUCAGAGAAUCAGAAGUCUAAGCAUUAGAGAAUUUUUCCUAAAUCGUAGCUCUCCUUGUAACUUCCACUCACGCCUUACAGUUCUGCCCUCUUGGGUCACACAACUGAUGAAAGAGUACCUCUGGCUUUCCUGGCAAUUUUUCUGGAAUUCGAUAGAGCUGGUUAUGAAUUCCAGGUCAGACACCGAGAAGCUGUGAGCCUGCUCCCUAACCUGUCUGAACCUCAGCUUCUAAUGUAAAAUUCAGCAAACAGUAAGACCUAGCUCACAGGUGAAUUGUCUACCAUAGACAAGAGAAAGAAGGUCAAGGCUUAGUGCAGUCCCUGAUAGAUUUACAUUUCCCAGAAGCCCACUUUCAGCCAGAUUAAAAUGCUUUGUGGAGGGUCUGGAAGUGGGAGUGUUUACAGCUUGGAAAAGGGCCAAGAAGGAAUAGAGAUCACUCCCAUUGAAACCCUUAAAGUUGACAUAUCGUUCCUUCUUUAAGAAAAGGAGACCUCACCUGGAAAUGUUAUUUCUGGACCUUCAACCAGGGCACAUGGCUGACCUUUACAGCUGUUGUUGAGUCUUCUUCCCUGUCCUGCUUAGUUUGCCUAAAUCUUUUUUCAGUGUUCCAUAGAGCACCUCUGUUAUAGGUUGAAUCAUGCCCCCCGCAAAAGAUAUGUUAAAGACCCAAUCCUCAGUGAAUGUAAAUGCAAAGUCACAGCUGUGGAUGUGACCUUAUCUGGAAAUAAAGGUCUUCCCAGACAUAAUUAAAAUGAGGUAAUUAGGUGCGCCCUAAUCUAAUGCAAUUGCUGUCCUUAAAAAAGAAGAAAUCCAGAGAGGCGAAUGUCAUGUGAAGACACAGAGAAAUACAGGGAGAAAGGUCAUCAUGCAAAGACAAGGCCAGUGUGGGGUUAUGUUGCCACAAGCCAAGAAACUGGGAAAGGCAAGAAAAAAAUCUCUCUCUAUAGCAUUCCCAAGGAGCACGGGCCUGCUGACACCUUCAUUUUACACUUCCUCUCCAGAAUGGUGAGAUAAUAAAUUUCUGUUUGUCACAGCAGCCCUAAGAAACUAAUACAGGCUGCUGGAUUUGAUUGUCUGAUGAAUAGAAGAGAGGAGGGAAGACAUGCGAACAAAACCAGUCAUUGAGUAUAAGGGUUGGGAGAUGUCCAUUCAUUUACUUAUUCAUUCAACAAACAUUCACUGAGCACUAAUUUAGUGCAGACACAAGCAAGCUAGAUGUUGAGGACAGAGUACUCGAGGAUCAAAAUCAGGCUUCUUCAGGGAGCCUUCCUGUUGCUAGGGGUGGUGAUCAGACAAUUAAUGGAAUAUAUAAUUAAUAUUAGGGAGGGCUAGAGGUCAAAGGGGAACAACUAGGUCGUGUGGUGUGGAAGGGAGUGCAAAGCAAGAGAAAGGAUGAUCAAAAAGGCUCAGUGAAGGAGACUUUGAAGAUGAGCUCCAUCAGUAGGAUCCAGCAUAGGAAGAUGGAAGAGAGCUUCACACAUAAGUGAAUCUGGAAGACCUUAACUGAUGGAUUCUCUCCUGAAGCCGCCUGUCAGCAGGUCUGUACUGAGGACGGGCAUGCCCAACAUGGCACCGCAUACUGUGAUUGAGCGCACGUUCAAUUUGGAGACACAACUAAGUGUUCCUCAUGCCAGCAGAUCCGAAACAACAUCUUGUUAUAGAGAAUCCAGAAAAGAGAAAAAUGCACAGAGAAGAAAACAACAGUGCCCCAGGUCUUUUGUGAACGUUAACAGACAUUUAUUGAUAAUGGAUUCUUCCACGAAUGCUCCACGACAGCUGCCUCAUUAGCUCGGCUGACCUUCUUGUCCUCCUGGUUUCCUCCGCAUGAGGCAAACCCGCUUCUUCCGGGUCCCUGGACUUUCUCUACCUUAACCCCCAGGCCUCUUUCAGGUAUUGUUUAUUGUCUCUCUUCUCACUCCUACUUCUGAGCUCAGCACAGGUGCCCAGUCCUCAGAGGAACCUUCCCUGCCCUCUGAGACGGGCUCCUUCAUAGCGUGUGUCCGAGUUGUAAUUUUCCUUUGGUCUUAACCAGCAGCUUGUGAUCAGGACUGCUAAGCUAGCUCAGCGACCAUGCCUGUGAGGGCAGAGAUGUGCAGACGGUGCUUCUGUUGGGUAGGGGUCGGCUCCUGGCCCACAGUGGGCCCUCAGUGGGCAGCCUGUGCAUGCAGGAGCCAAGGACUCCGGGAAAUGCCUAUCGGCGAUUGGACUGUGCAUCUUGGAUUUUGUGUGCAGCCUAUAGGUUGUGAAGUGAUAAAUAAAAAAUUUAGUGAGGGGCACCAUGGUGGUUCAGUCAUUUAAGCAGUCUCAGGUCAUGAUCUUAGAGUCCUGGGAUGGAGCCCUGCAUAAGGCUCCAUGCUUGGUGCGGAGCCUGCUUAAGAUUCUCUGUCUCUCCACCUUCUUCUCCCUCCCUCUUCGUUCCCCCUUCCCCCUGUUGUCUCCCUGAAAUAGAUAAAUAAGUGUUUUAAAAAAAUUAGUGUGGGGCUCCUGAGUGGCUCAGUCAGUUAAGCAUUCACCUCUUAGUUUCAGCUCAGGUCAUGAUCUCAGGGUCCUGGGAUCCAGCCCCAUGUUGGGUUUCGUGCUCAGCAGGGAGUCUAUUUUAAGAUUUCUUUUUUUCUCUCUCCCUCUGCCCCUUCCCCUCCUCAUGCUCUCUCUAUCAAAUAAAUAUAUAAAUUCUUAAAAAUAAAAAAAUAAAAUAAAUUAAAAAAAUUUAGU